AUGUUCCCCAUGUUCCAGGAGCUUGCACCACACGACCGACACGACAAGUGUGGUCACCACUAUGCGGUCUGUCUUGACCUGAAGAACCAACGUAUCGAGGUGCUUGAUUCAAUCCGUUCGGAAGCUGAUGCAGACCUUACUACGCAUGCCGAAUUAUUCAUCAAGAACCUCAAAGAGACUUGGAACCGUCACUACAAACAUUCAAAGGUCCAGAUCAGGCAUUUCCCGACUGAGUAUGUGGCGACUGUGAAGCAAGGGAACACGACGGACUGUGGCUUUCACGCGCUGGAAUACUUUGCAAAGUGGGAAGGCAGAAUUGUCCCCGCUAUCACAGAUGCAACGGUCGUUGAGCUCCGAAAAAUCUGCACAUGGAACUGGCUGACGAAUGAAGAUUUCAACAAGCGGUCCGGAGCACGCGAGUUCGUGGAGGAAGCUGUCAAGCAAGUCAUCAAGAAGUACAAGUGA
Molecule: ribosomal RNA, 465 nt
Filed under: Triticum aestivum (bread wheat)
Lineage: Eukaryota; Viridiplantae; Streptophyta; Magnoliopsida; Poales; Poaceae
Description: partial small subunit ribosomal RNA
Source: RNAcentral